UUCCUUCAUUUCAACGUAUUGUGUUAAAUACACCAAAGCCUUCUUCGCUAAGUUCUUUGAAUUUUCUUUUAUUGAAGCUUGUAUGUUGAAGCUUUCUGAGUGGAGCAUGUAGGUUGGGGUAGUGUUCCCUUAAUUUUUCGAGUGAGGAAAACUUCUCGGUUGGAGACUUGGAAUAUCCAAGUCACUGAGUAGGAUCGGCUAUAUGAAUCGUAGAACGCCAUUGUGCUCGGUCCUGUGUCAUGUCCUUCGUUAGAUCCAAGUACUCUAAGUCUUUUCUUAGAGUCUCUUCCAAAGUUUUCCUAGGUCUUCCUCUACCCCUUCGGCCCUGAACCUCUGUCCCAUAGUCGCAUCUUCUAAUCGGAGCGUCAGUAGGCCUUCUUUGCACAUGUCCAAACCACCGUAACCGAUUUAAGAUAACAAAAAAAUUUUAAAAGGGUUUACAUCACAAAGGGUUCUUGAAAUUGACCCAUACCAUCAAGAUGGUCAUUGAAAUUGAAAAUUGAUUAAUGUAGUUUCUGAAAGUAGGUGUCGCAAAUUAAUGUGCUCUUUCCGUCUCAAUUUUGUCAAAAUUUUUGUUAUGUGUUGGUGUGGCACAUAAAUGAGUUCCACAAGUCGUUUUUAUUUUAUUUAUUAUUAUAUUUUUUUUAUCAUAAAUGGUCCCUGAAAUGACCCACACAAUUAAGAUAGUCCCUGAAAUUGAAAAUAAAUGUAAUUCUAAAAUAGAUUUCUCAAAUCAAUGUGGUCAUUCUGUCUUAUUUCUUUCGAAAUUUUUGUUAUUUGCGAAUGACACACCCCUACCUAGAUAAAGGCAUGCUGGUUGUCACAUGAGAGUGACGUAGCCAUGUGUACAAUGCGGAAGCAUAUUAAUACAAGAAAUGCGAAUAAACAAAAACCAAACCAACUAGAGCACUAGAUAAGAUAAGGUGCAAGUGCGAUAUUAAGUGUGAUUGCACAACCAGAGUAUAAGUAGCCUAAGUCCAGUCCAGCAAGGCGAAUACUAAUUAUACAACACCAAAGGUGAUCCUACAUUGGUGAUAAUCUGUCAGAACCUCCGUCAAAUCCUCGUAAGCCACCAACAAGCACUCCUACCUAAAACAUGGAGGGGCGCAAAACAGAAAGUGAGUGGGCAAAAACAAAACUUUUCAAAACCAUUUCACUUAUCAAAAAUAAUAACCCCUCGCCGUAAAACCUGUAUAAUUCCCAGAAAAUAGCAUACAUGUUUAUAUCUCAAAACCAAAUUCGAAAUAACAAUUCCCCAAAUAUACCAUGUGUGAAAUCCCAUUCCUGGAUUUCACUAUUAUAAUCUACGUAUUUGUAUUAUUGAGGUUUUAUAUUUAUUUUUCGGGAAUUUAUAUUAAUUUAAUUGAAAUUAGGUUUUAAUUAAACUAGUUAUGAGGAUAGAAGUUUGGAAAUUAAUUAUCUAAAAUCCGUAGACCUUUUGAGGUCACGAUUUAUAUUGUCGAAUAGAUCUCAAAGCCACGAGCGCAUAGGUGAAAGUUGUUUGUGAGUUCGGAUUAUAAUGGUAUAGUUACGGAUAUUUGAAGUUGUUCUGCUAAACUAUAGUUUUUAAAUGAGAUAAACCCCACCAUGUGGGAAUUGGGCUGAGGAGAGGUGAGUAAAUUUUGAGAGCCCAGUCAGAAUUAAAACCAAGGCACAAUCAGACCCAAGGGAGGGAGGAAAAAUGGAC
RNAcentral lists this long non-coding RNA (1687 nucleotides) under Malus domestica (apple). RNAcentral describes it as "long non-coding RNA (MDOM_LNC010412)". The record is from RNAcentral. Lineage: Eukaryota; Viridiplantae; Streptophyta; Magnoliopsida; Rosales; Rosaceae.